This 740-nucleotide ribosomal RNA is filed under the name Flavobacterium sp. RNAcentral describes it as "bacterial SSU rRNA". It matches the Rfam family "Bacterial small subunit ribosomal RNA", at positions 60 to 801 of the family's 1533-position model. The record is from RNAcentral. Lineage: Bacteria; Pseudomonadati; Bacteroidota; Flavobacteriia; Flavobacteriales; Flavobacteriaceae.
AGUCGAGGGGUAUAGGUUUUCGGAUCUAGAGACCGGCGCACGGGUGCGUAACGCGUAUGCAAUCUACCUUUUACAGAGGGAUAGCCCAGAGAAAUUUGGAUUAAUACCUCAUAGUAUUAUGAAAUGGCAUCAUUUUAUAAUUAAAGUCACAACGGUAAAAGAUGAGCAUGCGUCCCAUUAGCUAGUUGGUAAGGUAACGGCUUACCAAGGCAACGAUGGGUAGGGGUCCUGAGAGGGAGAUCCCCCACACUGGUACUGAGACACGGACCAGACUCCUACGGGAGGCAGCAGUGAGGAAUAUUGGACAAUGGGCGCAAGCCUGAUCCAGCCAUGCCGCGUGCAGGAUGACGGUCCUAUGGAUUGUAAACUGCUUUUGUACGAGAAGAAACACUACUUCGUGAAGUAGCUUGACGGUAUCGUAAGAAUAAGGAUCGGCUAACUCCGUGCCAGCAGCCGCGGUAAUACGGAGGAUCCAAGCGUUAUCCGGAAUCAUUGGGUUUAAAGGGUCCGUAGGCGGUUUAGUAAGUCAGUGGUGAAAGCCCAUCGCUCAACGGUGGAACGGCCAUUGAUACUGCUAGACUUGAAUUAUUAGGAAGUAACUAGAAUAUGUAGUGUAGCGGUGAAAUGCUUAGAGAUUACAUGGAAUACCAAUUGCGAAGGCAGGUUACUACUAAUUGAUUGACGCUGAUGGACGAAAGCGUGGGUAGCGAACAGGAUUAGAUACCCUGGUAGUCCACGCC